RNAcentral lists this ribosomal RNA (458 nucleotides) under uncultured bacterium. Its description in RNAcentral is "partial 16S ribosomal RNA". It matches the Rfam family "Bacterial small subunit ribosomal RNA", at positions 338 to 795 of the family's 1533-position model. The record is from RNAcentral.
CCUACGGGAGGCAGCAGUGAGGAAUAUUGGUCAAUGGGCGAGAGCCUGAACCAGCCAAGUCGCGUGAGGGAGUACUGCCCUAUGGGUUGUAAACCUCUUUUGUCGGGGAGCAAAAGCCGGACGUGUCCGGCUGUGAGAGUACCCGAAGAAAAAGCAUCGGCUAACUCCGUUCCAGCAGCCGCGGUAAUACGGAGGAUGCGAGCGUUAUCCGGAUUUAUUGGGUUUAAAGGGUGCGCAGGCGGAUUUUUAAGUCAGCGGUAAAAUCGUGGGGCUCAACCCCAUCCAGCCGUUGAAACUGGGGAUCUAGAGUGUGCGAGAGGUAUGCGGAAGGCGUGGUGUAGCGGUGAAAUGCAUAGAUAUCACGCAGAACCCCGAUUGCGAAGGCAGCAUACCGGUGCACAACUGACGCUCAGGCACGAAAGCGUGGGUAUCGAACAGGAUUAGAUACCCUUGUAGUC